UCCCUAAAUAACCACUAACCAACGCCCGCCGGUGGUCACUCACUCGCUGCGACAACCAGGAGGAAGGGAGAUGUCUGGUCGAACGGGGACUUGCAAGCCGCUUGAUUCGUUGAAAUCUGUUGGAGGGUCAUGAGUCUAAGCCGGAAGUCUUCUAUGAUGCAUUGCUCUCUUAAAAACGGUUCAUCGGCUCUCUUCGCUCUUUUUCCGGUUUCUCUUAACCAUGGCGGGUAAUCUCUCUGGUCGAGUCAGUCGGCCAGUGUCUUCCCCUGCUUGACUGGCUGCAGUUUGAACCGGAUGGUCCCUUUAAAUAAGAAUUUAAAUCUAGAACAACUCUUUCUUUGAGCGGCCCGGACAAUCCUGAAUCCUUUAAGGUUGCCAUCCCAUCGAGGCUUAAACGAGGAUGACACGGAGGUGUUGCCCAUUGAGGGGUUGUGGUGACAAGGAGUCACUAAACGAAACGCUAAACCAAAUGAAAAAAAAAAAAAUUGUAAAAGCCAACGAUCCUUUAUAUAUCCGAGCCGAAUACUUUCCGUCUACAUUCGGUGUUGAGGGCAAAACCUAAAUUUCAACAUACUUUACUGCUUAGCAACGAAAACAAAGCGAGUGUCAAAACAUUGUUUUCUUGAGCAUAAUUUAUUGUGGCAGAAACGCGUUGUUUAUGUAACAGGGAGAAUUUUGUCCUCUUUUGUUCAUGCAGCAUCAAACGACACGCGAUAGGUUCCGGUGGUCAUCAAAAAUUUAAUAUGGUAGACAUGUCAAUGUAAAAGACAGGAUUUUCAUUUCCGACCGCAGGUGCAAGGAUUAUGUGUUUGAAACUUAGGUAAGUUUGCAGUAGAAUAUUUUAAAAAACUGAUUGUCCUUCAAACGGUUCGAAAUGGAAGAUUUAUUCAUUAACCGAAGAAACGAGUCAAAUGACUCAAAUGUCAAAUGUGAUCCAUCCCCGGCAACAUCAACCUGCAGAAAGAAAAAGGCCAUUUUCUAUGGCCUUGACGCUCGAAGUUCACGGAGAUCAUUACGUAAAACGUGUCAUGCAGUGGUGUAGAGGUGGGGUGAGAACGACACGUGUUGCUUCAUUAUCAAAAAGGUCCAAUAGCCGCAAGGCUUAGGAGGUGAGGGUGAGAAAAAAAUCGGAUAAAAGGAGAGAGAAAAGGCGAUUGAAACCAGUCGAGUGAGCAUCUCCGACCCGGCAACAACUCCAUUCUUCGGGCAUUCUUCGUCGUAAUAUCAGUUCGCAAUCAUGGUUAAUUAUGGCGUUGUGUUGCUGCUGGGCGUUGUAUCGUUGAUGUCGACUGCGAGAGAAAUUUGUAUAAAAGGAAAGACUGCUGAGAAAAGGUGACAGAAGUCAAUCAAGUGAGCAUCUCCGACCCGUCAACAACUGCAUUCUUCGUCGUAUAACAGUUUGCAACUACGGUUAACUAUGACGUCGUACAGCUAUUGGUUGUUUCGUCGUUUUCUGGGUCGACCACUGGUGUGCUGAUGCCCCUGGGUAUGGAAGAUACCAAACCGCAACGCCGCCGCCUUACUGCACACCAACAUACGCAACGACCAGUUACUACAUCGAGGUUGCACAAUUAGGUUUACAGUUACACCACCAAGGGUCCAGGCUCCUAAGUACUACACCACCAAGUCACCUGAGUCUACACAACUACCUUUACUGUCCCAAGUACUACAGCAAGGCUCCAAAGUACUACAGCACUAAGGCACCGGACUACUACACAACUAUAUAUGCUGCCCCAACCUGCGACACCGAGGCUCCAGCUUAUUACCUCACCAAAGCGGUCGAACACAGUGGCGCCCAAGUACGAUGGAAAUCAGUCCAGUGAGCAUCUCCGCCACCCAACAAGGCAGCCCCGAAGUUUCGAAUAAACUUCGUUUCAAAUAGUGGAACGGCAAAGAGCGAGGUCUCUUUUUCGAACAAGACGAAUUCUAUUGCAAUCCCUUUAAGAUAGCGGCGGCGUUGCAGUCAUACGUUGACAACGCGUCGUUCAACUUGAUUGUUGGUCGGAAAGCCUAACUUCAUGAUGGCCGUACCAUCACCUACGACAAGUGCCUUAUUGCCACAGGUGGUAAACGAAAAUCUUUGCCAAUCCCUGAGCGGUGCCCCUAUAGAUGUCCACGAGCAAGUGACGCAACAUCUAUGGCCCAGUCCUCCCUAACUAUUUGAGCCAAUGGACUUUCGAGAAGGUGGAAGCGGAAGACGUUUAUGUGUUGCCCAAAGCUAAUGUUGAGGGUGUAAGUCUGGAAGACAACAAGGUCGCAUUGACCUUAAACGAUGAUCAAAAGCAAAUUUAAACUGACCAUUUUCACACCGAAGCUCCGAACUAUUGACUCUAUCCCGAGUUACUACACCACUAAGGCACCUGAAUAAUACACCACACCCUACGCUUCUCCAACUUACUACAAGGACGUUUCUUAAUACAAGAGUCGAAUUUGAAUCAUGUUCAGAUUUGUCGGUCAUCUUAAUAGUUACUAGACACUGGGAAUUGUUGAUCUUUAAUGACAAUCAUUUUUUCAAACCUGGGUAAUCAUUUUGUACGACUUUUCUUGCCACCUAAAAGCCUUUGACAUUGCGACGUUUUCUGAUUUUAUUGGAUCUUUCCUAUUUCGCAUGUUGGAGGUGACUUAUUGCUCUAGUCGCUUUGCUUUCCGACAUGUUGUAGUGUUUGGACAAACUUCAUUUAAAGGGCAAGUUACGAAAGAGAUAUUCUGUGUUGUUUAAAAAUUUGAUGUUAACAGCUCUGUUUUUAACUUCAGUAGGCGUAACAUAUGAGUUGUAGAUAGUGUAUGGUUUCUCGCAGAAGUUUAUUUGAAGGGUCUGGAGUUGAUCAGUCACUUGCCUAUAACUUAUGUAAAACUUCAAAGUUGUAAAAAAUAUACAAAUUGUAAACUAAA
This is a long non-coding RNA of Daphnia pulicaria, 2892 nucleotides long. RefSeq lists it as uncharacterized. The transcript has 11 exons. The record is from RefSeq and is a predicted model, not a curated record. Lineage: Eukaryota; Metazoa; Arthropoda; Branchiopoda; Diplostraca; Daphniidae.